Molecule: non-coding RNA, 1022 nt
Organism: Myodes glareolus (Bank vole)
Lineage: Eukaryota; Metazoa; Chordata; Mammalia; Rodentia; Cricetidae
Source: RefSeq, a predicted model, not a curated record
GCUAAAAAGUCCUGAAGUCCUCUACAGAGGAGGAAGAGAACCAAGGGAGUAACGGGGGUCUCGGCACAGUCUCCAGGCCACUCAGAAGUUCCCUCCCACUCUUUCAGAGCCUCUGCAAAGUGAAACUUCAACAGUCUUUCUCUCAGUGAACUUGACACCUGUCCGUCAGCCAGGCCAGACUGGGCAGCUCUUCUCAUGGUGCACACAGCCAAUCGGAGUCCUCUCCCUUAGCCUGGCCUCUUUCUAGAGGUGAGGAGCACAAGAAAGAGGCCAGGGCUGAGCAUCUGAGCCAAAUUCAGGGCUGAGGAGAGCCCUGGGCAGAGUGCUCUGGAUGCCCUACCUCCAGGAUCGUAACCUUGCAGGGUGACUAGAACCUCCACCUAACAGAGAAAUCAAGUCAACAGUGUGGGCAGGAUCACACCUUCAACCUCGGAAUUAACAGGGCUCCCCAUUCCAGUCCCUCAGCGGAGGAGGAAGAAACACAGACCCUGUUGCAGAAAAUGGAAUUAAACAGGGCUCUGUUCCAGCUUGGGACCAGUACCCAGAAGCCUGCGGGGCAUAGUGGACCACCCAGGGACCUUGUCCAGUUCCUCUUCCAGCUCCUACAGGUUACUCAGAGAACCAGAGGGAUGGUGGAUUUCACCCUCCACCCAAAAAGAUUUGGAGCUCUGUGAGGUUCUGAGGUUUCCUGUUCAGCAUAUAGUUCUUGGGCCCCUCCUCUUCCCAGCUCCAUAUGUCAACCUGUUCCCCACGCCUUAGGCACGUGGACCCACACCGAAGCUGUCAUUCUGGGAAAGGAAUUGUGCUUCACGCUUAGGAAACGCCAACAAUCUCACCCUCCCUACCGAAUAAAGCUUCCAGGAGCCCAGCAAGAGUCAUUCUGAACCCCCGUGUCUACGCCACGCCUGGCUGCAAGGCCCCAACUGGGCUAUUCAAAGUUCAACUUAGCUGGGAUAGGGUCUGUCACAGCUGGAUAUCAAGUUCUCUCCAAGUACCCACGGGACCAAACUCCUCCUACCUCC